Molecule: ribosomal RNA, 474 nt
Filed under: uncultured bacterium
Lineage: Bacteria
Description: partial 16S ribosomal RNA
Rfam family: Bacterial small subunit ribosomal RNA
Source: RNAcentral
GAUGAACGCUAGCGGCAGGCCUAACACAUGCAAGUCGAGGGAGGAGCUUUCGGGCUUCGACCGGCGUACGGGUGCGUAACGCGUAUACAAUCUGACUUUCACAUAUGUACAGCCCGAAGAAAUUUGGCUUAAUACCUCAUGCGAUAUUAGAGCGGCAUCCCAUCUAUAUUAAAGCUGAGGUGGUGAAAGAUGAGUAUGCGUUCUAUUAGCUAGUUGGAGAGGUUACUGCUCCCCAAGGAGACGAUCGAUGGGGGUUCUGAGAGGGAGAUCCCCCACACUGGUGCUGAGGUACGGACCAGACUCCUACGGGAGGGAGCGGUAGGGAAGAUUGGACGAUGGUCGGAAGACUGAUCCAGCCAUGCCGGGUGCAGGAAGACGGCCUUAUGGGUGGUAAACUGCUUUUGCAGGAGAAGAAUAGGGACUACGAGUAGUUUGAUGACGGUACUCUGAGAAUAAGCAUCGGCUAACUCCGUG